This 84-nucleotide microRNA precursor is filed under the name Bombyx mori (domestic silkworm). Its description in RNAcentral is "mir-2807 microRNA precursor family". It matches the Rfam family "mir-2807 microRNA precursor family". The record is from Rfam by way of RNAcentral. Lineage: Eukaryota; Metazoa; Arthropoda; Insecta; Lepidoptera; Bombycidae.
UUAACUCAAUUUUGUAUGGAGUCGGAACGUUUGCCUACGUUAGCCGCUAGGGACGCUGUUUCAACUGCAUACAAUUAUGAGUUA